Molecule: ribosomal RNA, 422 nt
Filed under: uncultured bacterium
Lineage: Bacteria
Description: bacterial SSU rRNA
Rfam family: Bacterial small subunit ribosomal RNA
Source: RNAcentral
UGAGGAAUAUUGGUCAAUGGGGGCAACCCUGAACCAGCCAAGUCGCGUGAAGGAUGAAGGUCUUAUGGAUUGUAAACUUCUUUUAUACGGGAAUAAAGUGGGGGACGUGUCCCCCUUUGCAUGUACCGUAUGAAUAAGGAUCGGCUAACUCCGUGCCAGCAGCCGCGGUAAUACGUAGGGUGCAAGCGUUAAUCGGAAUUACUGGGCGUAAAGCGUGCGCAGGCGGUUCGGAAAGAAAGGUGUGAAAUCCCAGGGCUUAACCUUGGAACUGCACUUUUAACUACCGGGCUAGAGUACGUCAGAGGGGGGUAGAAUUCCACGUGUAGCAGUGAAAUGCGUAGAGAUGUGGAGGAAUACCGAUGGCGAAGGCAGCCCCCUGGGAUGAUACUGACGCUCAUGCACGAAAGCGUGGGAAGCAAACA